RNAcentral lists this ribosomal RNA (378 nucleotides) under uncultured microorganism. RNAcentral's name for it is "bacterial SSU rRNA". It matches the Rfam family "Archaeal small subunit ribosomal RNA", at positions 330 to 713 of the family's 1478-position model. The record is from RNAcentral.
GCGCACCAGGCGCGAAUACUUUACAAUGUGCGAAAGCACGAUAAGGGAACUCUGAGUGCCUCCUAAGGAGGCUGUUCAGGUGUCUAAAAAGCACCUGAAGGAAGGGCUGGGUAAGACCGGUGCCAGCCGCCGCGGUAACACCGGCAGCCCAAGUGGUAGCCACGUUUAUUGGGUCUAAAGCGUCCGUAGCCGGCUGGGUAAGUUCCUUGGGAAAUUUGGCUGCUUAACAGUCAAGCUUUCAGGGAAUACUGCCCGGCUUGGGACCGGGAGAGGUCAGAGGUACUCCAGGGGUAGGGGUGAAAUCCAUUAAUCCUUGGGGGACCACCGGUAGCGAAGGCGUCUGACCAGACCGGGUCCGACGGUGAGGGACGAAGGCUA